Molecule: long non-coding RNA, 439 nt
Organism: Calypte anna (Anna's hummingbird)
Lineage: Eukaryota; Metazoa; Chordata; Aves; Apodiformes; Trochilidae
Exons: 2
Source: RefSeq, a predicted model, not a curated record
GCUUUACAGAGCUGCUUUCCUGAGGCAGAUCUGCCCCUGUGAAAUUGAUUUAAGAUGCUCCUGGAAUUCCCAGGAUGAUCCUCUGCACUGCCAACACCAACCCUCAGAUGUCCUCAGCACAAACUGCAGUCACUCUUCAUGGGAAGAUCAGAUUCAAGACAAGGUGUGGAACAAAAGCAGCACCCCCAACAACCUGAUAAUGUUGCAUUUCAUGUAAAAAAAGAAGGAGAAAAGACCCCCCCCCAGCCUGCUCCAAAGCCGUCUUUGAAUUCCUGCAGGAAUCCCCCUCAUUUCCACAUUCAGUAAUGUGUUUUGAAUUAGGGCUACAGCUAAUUAAAUCCACCUCAUUGCCCCUGUUAAGGAAAUUAGUUUUCUUAUCAAGAGAGUGAUUUAUCUAACAGAGUGUACUUCUGAUAAAACCCUGGUGUCAUUUACCACA